GCCACUUGUGGGGCCUCAGAUUGGAGGGCACCUAGAUGAGUGACAGGCAGCGUGCACCCGGGCAGACAGGCGCUGGGGGGACUGUAUGUGAGUAUGCAUGUGGCAGGGGGUGGGGGGGGCGCCUCCUGCCGCACUGUCCGCCGGAGAUGGGGGGCGAGUUUCGCGGUGACGCGCGGCCCUCACGUGACCCGGAGCUGCAGAGCGACGCAGCCUAGGGUGCAGUCGUCACUCGCGUCUGGCUACCAGCUCCCCGCUGCCCUGCGCACGGCGGGCUGGCAUCCGGCCCGGGGAAAGCGGAGCAGCUUCUGCAGGUCUGCAGGGCCCAGUGUCGCGGCGGCGCACCUGGCGGCGAGAAUCUGGAGGAGGAGGAGAAGGCAAGGAUAGGCCCAGAAAAAC
RNAcentral lists this long non-coding RNA (396 nucleotides) under Sciurus vulgaris (Eurasian red squirrel). RNAcentral describes it as "lncRNA (ENSSVLG00005022344.1)". Lineage: Eukaryota; Metazoa; Chordata; Mammalia; Rodentia; Sciuridae. The record is from RNAcentral.